RNAcentral lists this ribosomal RNA (295 nucleotides) under Pediococcus acidilactici. Its description in RNAcentral is "partial 16S ribosomal RNA". It matches the Rfam family "Bacterial small subunit ribosomal RNA", at positions 85 to 374 of the family's 1533-position model. The record is from RNAcentral. Lineage: Bacteria; Bacillati; Bacillota; Bacilli; Lactobacillales; Lactobacillaceae.
CACGAAGUGAGUGGCGGACGGGUGAGUAACACGUGGGUAACCUGCCCAGAAGCAGGGGAUAACACCUGGAAACAGAUGCUAAUACCGUAUAACAGAGAAAACCGCCUGGUUUUCUUUUAAAAGAUGGCUCUGCUAUCACUUCUGGAUGGACCCGCGGCGCAUUAGCUAGUUGGUGAGGUAACGGCUCACCAAGGCGAUGAUGCGUAGCCGACCUGAGAGGGUAAUCGGCCACAUUGGGACUGAGACACGGCCCAGACUCCUACGGGAGGCAGCAGUAGGGAAUCUUCCACAAUGG